GCGACGCCGAGNGACCGAAAACCGGUCUCAGUUCGGAUCGGAGUCUGCAACCCGACUCCGUGAAGCUGGAUUCGCUAGUAAUCGCGCAUCAGCCAUGGCGCGGUGAAUACGUUCCCGGGCCUUGUACACACCGCCCGUCAAGCCAUGGGAGCCGGGGGUGCUUGAAGUGCGUCGCCGCGAGGCGCGCCCUAGAGCAAAACCGGUGACUGGGGCUAAGUCGUAACAAGGUACC
RNAcentral lists this ribosomal RNA (232 nucleotides) under uncultured bacterium. Its description in RNAcentral is "partial 16S ribosomal RNA". It matches the Rfam family "Bacterial small subunit ribosomal RNA", at positions 1257 to 1500 of the family's 1533-position model. The record is from RNAcentral.